This 553-nucleotide ribosomal RNA is filed under the name uncultured bacterium. RNAcentral describes it as "bacterial SSU rRNA". It matches the Rfam family "Bacterial small subunit ribosomal RNA", at positions 777 to 1344 of the family's 1533-position model. The record is from RNAcentral.
AAUAGAUACCCGGGUAGUCCACGCCGUAAACGAUGGAUGCUAGCUGUGGGGGGUAUCGACCCCCUCCGUAGCGAAGCUAACGCGUUAAGCAUCCCGCCUGUGGAGUACGGCCGCAAGGCUAAAACAUAAAGGAAUUGACGGGGGCCCGCACAAGCGGUGGAGCGUGUUCUUUAAUUCGAUGAUAAACGAAGAACCUUACCAAGGCUUGACAUCCCAGGAAUUACUCCGAAAGGAGUAAGUGCUUUAUUGAACCUGGUGACAGAUCUUGCAUGGCCGUCGUCAGCUCGUGUCGUGAGAUGUUUGGUUAAGUCCAUCAACGAGCGCAACCCUUAUGAAUAGUUGGAUUUUUCUAUUCAGACUGCCCCGGUAACGGGGAGGAAGGGGGGAUGAUGUCAGGUCAGUAUUAGUCUUACGUCUUGGGGCUAGAAACGCGCUACAAUGGCCGGUACAAUGGGCAGCUAACCCGCGAGGGGUGCAAAUCCCAUCAAAGCCGGUCCCAGUUCGGAUUAGAGGCUGAAACUCGCCUCUAUGAAGUCGGAAUCGCUAGUAAUCG